AUGAAGCCAAUGACUUAUAGUAUGGAACAAAAAGAUCUAUGUGCUUGGGCUGGGCUAGGGGAUACAGAACCCCCCCUUGAAUCUCACUUGACUCCAUGGAGUGGCAGGGAACAGGUGAACAUGAAGAAAAGAAAACCUCUUUUCCAAAAUUUGCUAUUCCAAAUAUCUCAUAGUCCAGGAUACAGAAAUUAUUUCAGAAGUGCACACAUGACUCAAACAGAACCAACCUAUGAACAAUCUGGUCUCACUUUUUGUUGCCUACUGGUGGAUACCCCAAGACUCCAAAACAUAAAAUGACAAGAUACAAACGAAGGCAUCAUUAGCCCAGGAUUACAAUAGAUGUCGUGCCCUGCUUGAAGCCAGGGCUCUUGAACCUUGAGUCUUUGUGUCACUCUUCAGAUUCCUUUGGUUCUACUGAUAGCCAUCUCUCUCUGACUCCUCCUCUUCCUUUUCCUCCUCCUCCUUCUCCUUCUUUCAUUCUUCAUUAUCUAUCUGAUUAUUGACCGCACACACAUGCUGAGUUCAUAGAAAUUUCCAAGGCUUCCCUGAAAGAUACAGACAGUUGACAGGUUCCCUGCUUCUGAAAAAGCUCCCAGUUUAGUUGGGAGAAUAAGAAACCCCAUGAGACCUCAUGAAGCAACCAGUGCACCUGUGCUGAGCAUCAAGUGAAAUUUGCAUACAAACCCUAGUGAUAACCAGGUCUUAGGGCAUUGAGAGCCUCCUUGGACAGUGAUGGAGAGAUUUGUCCACCUCCUGACCAGGUGGAAACUCAGUCCAGGGCUUCCGGAAACUUGAAGGGUCAUUGAAAAGGCUCAAAGGUCAAGGUGGUCAUGCCAGCUUUUAAUGGCACAAGAAUUUCUUCUCUUUUGACCACUCAAUUGCAAAAAUUUUUUCAGAGCUGAAAACUAGAAGGAAUGCUGUCAUUAUAUGGACUAAGAGGGGGCCUUUCAGAGAGGGCCUCCAACUAAUCCAGCAGUAACCCAGAAAUAAACAACCAUAUCCAAGAACUCA
This 1011-nucleotide long non-coding RNA is filed under the name Vulpes vulpes (red fox). RNAcentral describes it as "lncRNA (ENSVVUG00000026135.1)". The record is from RNAcentral. Lineage: Eukaryota; Metazoa; Chordata; Mammalia; Carnivora; Canidae.